This 1601-nucleotide long non-coding RNA is filed under the name Androctonus crassicauda. The record is from RNAcentral. Lineage: Eukaryota; Metazoa; Arthropoda; Arachnida; Scorpiones; Buthidae.
AUUUACUGUUCCGUCUUAAUCGACCGCUGUUAAAAUAAAUAAAUAAAAAAAAAAAAAAGGUAAAUUUAUUAAUUGGGUAGAAGCGUUACACAACGGGAACGAGCGAAUAACUGAAGAAGGAUUUAGCCUUUUCAAUAAUUAAGCUGGGGAGGCAGCGUGUGUCGAAAUGCCAUUGAAGUGUAAAAAAAUGAUGCUGACGAUUUUUAUCGAUCAUUCUGUAUCGAUUACGAGUACUGGAUACGACGGAACGGUACUCGAGUCGACAAGGUCGGCCAUGGUGGCAGUCAGACGUCAAUCAUCUGGCCGUCACUUAUCCGGAAGCGUGCUGAUCUGUCCACCGUUUUACUCCACCACCAACUCCGUAGUGGCUUCUAUCGUUGUCCUUUAAUCGAUUAUUCGAUUUGUAUAUUCCUCCGACACCUUUUUACUACGGCAUACCUCCGUAUAAUCGAUCACUUUCCAUACAUUCUAUAUAAAAUCGGGAAUUUCGUUAACGUAAGGCGAUAUUUAAACGUUUCUACAACACUAUCCAGAAUGAGGUAGCGCGAAAAUGUUAAAAAAGAAGUGGCCAAAAUAACUGGCGAAAGAUGCGAAAUUAACAGUUGAAGAUAAACAUUGUUGUUUGUGUUUGAUAUGGUAAGUUUAUCGAGUGUCCAAUGGGGUAUAACUGAAAGGUGGUCGGGUCGGAAAGAAGCGAGGAGAUAGAAGAGAAGGAGCGAAAAGAGAGAUGCGCGAGUAGUAGCAAUUGUAGACCUAUAAACGGAGAUUCGUCGUUUCUCGUUAUCGCCAACUCGAGUGGCAGCAAUUUGCCUGGAUGUCUCGGGACGGCGAUAACAGCUUGACACCGAAGUCUAAUCAGUUUAGAUCGGAUGUCGUUUUUCACUACACCUGCUUUUGUUUUCUCCUUUCUCUUCUCUAACCGUCCGACAGAAAUGAUCGAUUCCGCCAAUAAUCCUCUACAAAAACCUUUAAAUACGCUACAAAUUGUCUCUACCUACUCUUAUCAACCUGUUCGAUGACCAACUUCACAUAACGCUCUUUAAACCGUGACACAUCAUCCCGUCUGGCCUCGUUUAUCCCCCAUACACGUCCGAAAUCGAAUCAAAACAACCGUACCGAUUUUUUAAUCGAUUUUUUAAAUCGAUCUAACGCUUAUUUUUCUAUCCAAACCGCAGAUUUUCUAAUUUUAAAACCGAUAGAAAAUUCUGUCGGAACGUUAAAAGUAAAUUUUGCUCGUUUGGCAUUUAAAAAAAAAAAAAAAAGAAGUCUCGGCUAAAAUUGCUUAACUGGCUAUUUGCUUAAUCUCUGUUUGGAACGGAGACCAAAAUAGCUUUUAAAUGACACAAAAUUAAAUCUUUAUUAAACAAUACGACAAACAAGAAAACUGCAGAACUGCCUACACACGCAUUUGAUAGGAAAAUUGAUAAAAACGUGAAUUUUUUUUUUCCUUCUGACAUAAAUAUUCAGGUAGCCUACAUAAUCCCGAUUGUUUUUCCUAACUUAAUAUUAUAUCGAAGUUUGUGUAGAGACCAUAAUUAAAAAGUCCACUCCGGUUAUAUAUGUAUAUAUAUAUAUAUAUAGGUCAUUUUCUAUAGAUUUAC